GUAGGGAAUUUUGCGCAAUGGGGGAAACCCUGACGCAGCGACGCCGCGUGAGUGAUGAAGGCCUUCGGGUUGUAAAGCUCUGUCAAGCUGGACGAACGUCCUUUGGUCUAAUAGGCCGAGGGAGUGACGGUACAGCUGAAGGAAGCACCGGCUAACUCUGUGCCAGCAGCCGCGGUAAUACAGAGGGUGCAAGCGUUAUUCGGAAUUACUGGGCGUAAAGCGCAUGUAGGCGGGGAAAUAAGUCAAUUGUGAAAUCCCGGAGCUUAACUCCGGAAUUGCAGUUGAUACUGUUUUUCUUGAGAUUGGUAGGGGAUAGUAGAAUUCCUGGUGUAGAGGUGAAAUUCGUAGAUAUCAGGAGGAAUACCUGAGGCGAAGGCGGCUAUCUGGACCGAAUCUGACGCUGAGAUGCGAGAGCGUGGGGAGCAAACAGGAUUAGAAACCCCAGUAGUCC
RNAcentral lists this ribosomal RNA (451 nucleotides) under uncultured bacterium. RNAcentral describes it as "bacterial SSU rRNA". It matches the Rfam family "Bacterial small subunit ribosomal RNA", at positions 354 to 796 of the family's 1533-position model. The record is from RNAcentral.